GGAGCAAACGAAGUGAAGCAUGUUAUUUAAUACGAAAGUACGCGUAAAAUCUUACCAGUUCUUGCAUAGCCAAUCCCUCUUAAUUAUUGAAAUAAAAACUACUCAAUCACUUUGUUCGAAGAGAAGAUAUUUAUUUAUUUUUUCUUCCCCAUAGGGAAAAGAAGAUUUUUAUUUUAAAUUUAAGACUGGAUUGAGUGAUAAUUAUUUAUUAAUAAGUUUUUUUCCCUUUUUUUUCUUCUCUAUCUUUAUAUACACCUUUGCUUUCGUCCCCAUUCAUAGGGAGGUGCAAAGGCAAAAGUAGAGAUAGUAAUAGAGGAGACGAAAAUAGUGUAAGAAUA
RNAcentral lists this ribosomal RNA (338 nucleotides) under Hebeloma sacchariolens. RNAcentral describes it as "partial small subunit ribosomal RNA". Lineage: Eukaryota; Fungi; Basidiomycota; Agaricomycetes; Agaricales; Hymenogastraceae. The record is from RNAcentral.